CGGCUCCAGCUGAAUGAGAAGCUCAUAGAGAGAGCAGAGCCCCCACCAGUAAGGAACCAGUACAGAUCUGACAUACUGGGAGCAGCACAGGGAGCCGCUCUCUCCGCACUCAGCCAACAUGAAUCUGAGUCUUUGGAUCCUGACACUCGCCCUGCUGGUUCUAACCUUCACUACAGCCUUUGGAGCUCCGCUAGCUGAAGGCUCGGAAAGGAAGGAUGAAGAGCAGAAUAUUCGCACCCUCGUAAGUUCGAACAAGAACACGCGCCACGUGCCUCAGCGUUCAGGAGCCUUAAGGAAACUCCGGCGCCAGAGACCACGCCUCUCUCACAAGGGGCCAAUGCCCUUCUAGGAAAGAUGGUUCGCCAAGAGACUCUCUCUGAAAUGAUCUGGUUUGUUUGGCCCUGGACCCCUUGGGUGAGACGAAAAGGUUCCAAAAGGAAAAAAAAAUUCCUAGCCUCCCGCCUCGUGCCUCUCGGAUCUGUCUGCGUCUGGAUGCCUUUCCCGUCUGAGGGAUUUGGGGACACUACUUGGGAGAGGAUUAUCUGACCCUGUCCUGGACAGCACAAGUCUGGCUGCAGCUUAAAUUUGGCCUUUGUUCCCUCAGGAAAGCUUGUUUUAAUUACUACUGGAUCAAGACUUAUAAUGGUUAUUGCCCCUAAGGUCUACCUUACCACUUUAUUCAUCUUGAGGAAACUGCAUAGAAUUGCAUUAGUCAAAAGCCAUCGACAUUCACUUUUUUGGGUUGUGUCCAUUUUACUCUACGAUAUUUCUUCCAUCUCCAAGUCAACUUGACUCACUGACAUAGUCGGAGUCUACCUGGUGGUGUUUCCGUCAACUUCGGGCUGAAUUGGCCCUACCAAUUUUCACCCCCCCAAUAUGUUUCGACCAUCGGCUUGCUCCUCAAAACAUCCUUCAAACUAGAUAAAUGAACUUUUCUUCAAAUUUAAUACACAAUAUUUCUUCCAUCUCCAAGUCAACUUGACUCACUGACAUAGUCGGAGUCUACCUGGUGCUGUGUCCAUCAACUUCGGACUGAAUUGGCCCCACCAGCUUUCACCCCUCCAAUAUGUUUCGUCCAUAGGCUUGCUCCUCAAAACGUCCUUCAAACCAGAUAAAUGAACUUUUCUUCAAAAUGUAAUACACGGACAAGAACGAUCUUUAUGAACUUUGUACAAAUUUUCGAAAAGGUUCUUUAUUAACAAACCACCAUUGGCCAUUGGCCUUGAGAACGCAAAGGCCUCAAAGUCUACCUUACCACUUUGUUCGCCUUGCCAUUGCUGAUGUUGAGGAAACUGCAUAGAUUUGCAUGACGUCAAAAGCCAUCGACAUUCACUUUUUUGGGUUGUGUCCAUUUUACUCUACAAUGUUUCUUCCAUCUCCAAGUCAACUUGACUCACUGACAUUGUCCGAGUCUACCUGGUGCUGUGUGCGUCAACUUUGGGCUGAAUUGGCCCCACCAACUUUCGCCCCCCCCCAAUAUGUUUUGUCCAUCGGCUUGCUCCUCAAAACAUCCUUCAAACCAGAUGAAUUUACUUUUCUUCAAAUUUAAUACACAAUAUUUCGUCCAUCUCCAAGUCAACUUGAUUCACUGACAUAGUCCGCUUCUACCUGGUGGUGUGUCCGUCAACUUCGGGCUGAACUGGCCCAACCAACUUUCCCCCCCCAAUAUGUUUUGUCCAUCGGCUUGCUCCUCAAAACAUCCUUCAAACCAGAUGAAUUUACUUUUCUUCAAAUUUAAUACACAAUAUUUCUUCCAUCUCCAGGUCAACUUGACUCACUGACAUAGUUGGAGUCUACCUGGUGGUGUGUCCAUCAACUUCGGACUGAAUUGGCCCCACCAACAUUCGCCCCACCCCAAAAUGUUUCGUCCAUCGGCUUGCUCCUCAAAACGUCCUUCAAACCAGAUAAAUUAACUUUUCUUCAAAUUUAAUACACAAUAUUUCUUCCAUCUCCAAUUCAACUUGACUCACUGACAUAGUCCGAGUCUACCUGGUGAAGUGUCCAUCAACUUCGGGCUGAAUUGGCCCCACCAACUUUCUCCCCCAUUAUGUUUCGUCCAAACCAGAUAAAUGAACUUUUCUUCAAAAUUUACAACACGGACAAGAACGAUCUUUAUGAACUUUGUACAAAUUUUCUAAUAAGGUUCUUUAUUACCAAACCACCAUUGGCCAUUGGCCUAGAGAACGCAAAGGCCUCAAGGUCCGUACAAUAUUAUCUAUAUAUAUCGAGUCUUUCAUAAUAGCACUUUCUAAACUGGGUCAUUUAAUGAAAAAAAAAAAAAA
Rana temporaria (common frog) is the source of this 2282-nucleotide long non-coding RNA. RefSeq lists it as uncharacterized. NCBI's taxonomy places the organism in Eukaryota, Metazoa, Chordata, Amphibia, Anura, Ranidae. The transcript has 3 exons. The record is from RefSeq and is a predicted model, not a curated record.